This 253-nucleotide ribosomal RNA is filed under the name uncultured bacterium. RNAcentral describes it as "partial 16S ribosomal RNA". It matches the Rfam family "Bacterial small subunit ribosomal RNA", at positions 524 to 776 of the family's 1533-position model. The record is from RNAcentral.
UACGUAGGGUGCAAGCGUUGUCCGGAAUUCUUGGGCGUAAAGAGCUCGUAGGCGGUUUGUUGCGUCGGCUGUGAAAUCCCGAGGCUCAACCUCGGGUCUGCAGUCGAUACGAGCAAACUAGAGUGUUGCAGGGGAGACUGGAAUUCCUGGUGUAGCGGUGAAAUGCGCAGAUAUCAGGAGGAACACCGGUGGCGAAGGCGGGUCUCUGGGCCGAUACUGACACUGAGGAGCGAAAGCGUGGGGAGCAAACAGG